RNAcentral lists this unclassified non-coding RNA (326 nucleotides) under Hevea brasiliensis (rubber tree). Lineage: Eukaryota; Viridiplantae; Streptophyta; Magnoliopsida; Malpighiales; Euphorbiaceae. The record is from RNAcentral.
CUUCUUCUUCUUCUUCUUCUUCUGUUCUAUCUUCUUUAUAUUCUUUCUUUUCUUUAUCUUUCUUUCUCCUCUGCAAAAUAUUUUCUUUCUAUUUAUGUAAUUUCUUCUCUAUUCUUCCUUUUCAAUUACUCUUCUUCCUUUCUCUGUAAUUUUCUUCCAAUUCCAAUAUCAGUUUCAUGUUCUAAAUCUUUGCUUCAGGCCUGAUUUUCUUUUAAUAUUUUCUUCCUCAAAUUUUCCAAGAAAUAAAGUACACUCAGAGCAUCAAACUAUGGAUAUACAAUUUUGGGAACAAAAAGAUCUCCAGAGAAUGCUAGAAAUUUUUGAAA